This 1000-nucleotide ribosomal RNA is filed under the name bacterium KB112. Its description in RNAcentral is "bacterial SSU rRNA". It matches the Rfam family "Bacterial small subunit ribosomal RNA", at positions 476 to 1474 of the family's 1533-position model. The record is from RNAcentral.
UAGGUAGAUAAGAAGCACCGGCUAACUACGUGCCAGCAGCCGCGGUAAUACGUAGGGUGCAAGCGUUGUCCGGAAUUACUGGGCGUAAAGAGCUCGUAGGUGGUUUGUCGCGUCGUCUGUGAAAUCCCGGGGCUUAACUUCGGGCGUGCAGGCGAUACGGGCAUAACUUGAGUGCUGUAGGGGAGACUGGAAUUCCUGGUGUAGCGGUGAAAUGCGCAGAUAUCAGGAGGAACACCGAUGGCGAAGGCAGGUCUCUGGGCAGUAACUGACGCUGAGGAGCGAAAGCAUGGGUAGCGAACAGGAUUAGAUACCCUGGUAGUCCAUGCCGUAAACGGUGGGCGCUAGGUGUAGGGGGCUUCCACGUCUUCUGUGCCGUAGCUAACGCAUUAAGCGCCCCGCCUGGGGAGUACGGCCGCAAGGCUAAAACUCAAAGGAAUUGACGGGGGCCCGCACAAGCGGCGGAGCAUGUGGAUUAAUUCGAUGCAACGCGAAGAACCUUACCUGGGCUUGACAUGUACCGGAUCGGGCUAGAGAUAGUCUUUCCCUUGUGGUCGGUAUACAGGUGGUGCAUGGUUGUCGUCAGCUCGUGUCGUGAGAUGUUGGGUUAAGUCCCGCAACGAGCGCAACCCUUGUCUUAUGUUGCCAGCACGUUAUGGUGGGAACUCAUGAGAGACUGCCGGGGUUAACUCGGAGGAAGGUGGGGAUGACGUCAAAUCAUCAUGCCCCUUAUGUCCAGGGCUUCACACAUGCUACAAUGGUCGAUACAAUGGGCAGCGACAUCGUGAGGUGAAGCGAAUCCCUGAAAGUCGGCCUUAGUUCGGAUUGGGGUCUGCAACUCGACCCCAUGAAGUCGGAGUCGCUAGUAAUCGCAGAUCAGCAACGCUGCGGUGAAUACGUUCCCGGGCCUUGUACACACCGCCCGUCACGUCAUGAAAGUUGGUAACACCCGAAGCCAGUGGCCUAAACUUGUUAGGGAGCUGUCGAAGGUUGAAUUCGGAAA